CUGGAUUACUGUGUUCAGUUCUGGGUGCCACAGUUUUCAGAAGGGCUUUGAUAAACUGGCUACACAUGGAAGUUUUAUAGAUCACUAUAUGGCUAGCGGGCCAUGUGUUUGACAUCUCCACUGUAAACGAUGUAAGAAAGUUCAAAGUACAAGAGGAGAGCUGCUAGUUGUAAGAGCCAUGAUGAUCUUGGAGCCAGGAAUCCAUGAAGGAUGUUACUGCCAGCCCAGCAGGGAAUUCCUGAGAAGCCAGGGUGCUGGAGUGCCCAGAUCCUAGAUUCCUGGCAGCCAAAUCUCUGGGGAAGAUGGCAGACAGUUCACUGGUAUAUCUGUCCAUACCUUGGGUGUCUUGGUGGAGUCCACAAUUGAGCUCCACUUCAGUACAUAAUUUCAAGAGUCAGAACUCUACAUUCAGUUGAUCCAACUGGAUUUAUUGAAAAUGUACAAGUUAUCCUAGUGGACAAAGGAUCCUGAUGAUUCAUGUGCUCUGACAGUUUCACCAUCAUGUGAGCUUCACUGAUAUUUCUGGUUUGAAGAGAUGAAGAAGCAGGAAGAUAGUGUUGCCCAGGACUGAAGACUAGAUCAAAGUAACUUCAGGCAGACAGUAUAUCAGCAUCACACCAAGAAACUGAAUCACUUCAAUCUGAGUUGUCUUAGGAAGAUUCUGAAGAUCUCCUGGCAAGAAAAGGUACCAGACACCGAGGUUCUUUCUCAAGCUGAACUGCCAAGCAUUCAAACUCUACUGCAGAGAGCACAACCCCAAUGAGCUGAC
Non-coding RNA from Phascolarctos cinereus (koala), 769 nucleotides. NCBI's taxonomy places the organism in Eukaryota, Metazoa, Chordata, Mammalia, Diprotodontia, Phascolarctidae. The record is from RefSeq and is a predicted model, not a curated record.